GCAACAAAUGUAGUCAUGGCAAUAGAAUGUUCUAUAACAUUGUUCGCCAGUCUUCGGCGCUUACAGAAUUCCUAGUAAUUUUCACUCGUUCAUCUGAGGCUGAGAGCAAAAUGCUGCUGGAAAUUCAAGCCUAUUAAGUGUGUAUCACUGUUGGAGUGACAUGUCUUGAGCUCUCAAAUCUUGUAACAAACCCAGUAGUUAAGAAGGAGCGGUGAAAUGUUUACGAGCCGAUCACAAAAGGGAAAUAAAUCUUCAGUCUCGCAUUGCGGAUCACUGGAGUGACCUUGUGAAGACAAGCCCAGGACUGAGAGCACAUUGCUCCAUCCAAUAAGCACAGUGGUUCCAAAUGAGAGUGGGAAAAACUGCUGCCCAGCACCAUGGCGGAAUCACGAAUAACAUUACUCGCCCCAGAUGGAGAGCGCAAAUGUCCAAGGCCCCAACAAAACACAACAGACGAAAGCCCUAUUCAGGAGCAAGAGGAGGACAAGGUGAAGUGGUUCUGGGAUUACCUCACAAGUGGCUGGAGCUAUUUGUUGAAACCCUUCAAAUGGGGCUGGAGUUGCGUGUCGCAGGUCUGGUACUUCCUGCUUUAUAGCUGCAGCUUCCCAUGUGACAAUGAAUGGCCGCUGAGCGAGUGCGAUUCCUCGCGGAGUAGCUGGAGGUCCUAUGUAGGAGACAGAGCUCCCCCCAACAUCCUGUUUUACUGCUGCCUCAAACGCUCUUUCACGACCUUCCUAAGCGACUGGCGAACUCUGACGGGCGAUCGGAACCCCCUGAUCACCCUCUACAACUUCCUCGGGCGCUGUUGCCAGUCCCUGCGGCAUGGCUGGCACUCCAUGACCAGGAGGACACGCUCAGGUUUCUGGGAGCCGGCGGCUUCGUGCGGCAGCUCCAGCAGACUCAGCCCGAACCUGGUCAGCUUGUGCCUGGAGCCCCUGGCGCGCUGUUGGCACAAGUUCCGCAGCGGCUGUGAUUCGUGCCUGCGGGGCUGGAACAUGCUGGCAGUGUGCUACGGUGCUGUCUCUUGGUUCGGGGAUUUCCUGAGCCGGAGCUGGCUCUGGGCCGCUCGGAGCUGCUCCUCUCUGGGUGACUGCUGUGGCUCCCUCUCUCGCCUCUGGCGUAUCCUCAUGCUGUGCUGCCACUUCAUCGCUCGCUGCUCAAACCUCCUCAAACGGCGUUAACCCGCAGAUUCAGCAUCAGAGCAUUUCUUUCCUAAUCCAUUCCAGUUGUUUUUUUUAAAGAAAAGUACAUUUCACAUCUCCCUGACUCUUUAGAACCGGGGCUGCCUGAUAUGAAAUUACCUCUUUAUGACUGGGGUGACUUCCGAUUAGAAACACUUGAGUGAUACUAAAUCACUGGAACCAAUCCCGAAUACAGCUAUAAAUAACGUGAAACCUCCAACAACUGAGGUUUCAUUCAUUCCAGUGCAGAAGAAAUUGACCAGUUUUGUUAACAUAUGAAAGCAGCUCACCUAAUACCUUUACCUUCAUGUAUGAUGCAAUUCUUCGAACUCGACAGAACUCCAUUUUUUAAAAAAGCUUGAAUCAAGACAAGUCCUAAACUUGGACGCAAGCCACUGUUUGUCUCUCAUAGCCAUUUCUUAAUAUUAUCGUCACGAGUGUCCUAACAUACUUCAUCUUCCAGAUGCCUCACAGCACCCUUCCUGUUCCGGGAGCAAAAGUCUUCAAUUUACGUUUCUAAAGUGUAAUACACCCGAACCUCGCGAAUAGAUCCUGCUCGGUACUUUAUUGGGCCGGCACCUUACAGUUGUGUUUGAAACAUUGCUCACUGAGGUUAAGAGCCCAUACGUAAACAUGAGCCCUAUUAGUGUGAUGGAUCAAAAUAGACUCACGAUGGGAUCCAAGGAAGCAAUUAGGAUCACGAGUGGUCAGUGCACAGUGCCGGCGUUGGGUUCACAUUUUCAGCAGAAUUUCUCUGGAUCACCGAGCAGUCAGUUUUCUGAUGGGACACCUAAUCAUGCAAGCAGGAUCCAACCAUUGAAUCUGAUAGCCCGUUAGUCACCGCAGGCAGGCAAACAGCUUCUCCAUCAGGGAUGGUGCAAUGGAUUAAAGUUAUGAGUAUCUACAAUCUCACCUAUCCAGGAUACUGGCCUUGUUCUGAAUGGAGCUUCAGUAUAAAUAAUCUUUGAGAGUAUACCUCCAGAAAGAUUGGUGAAUCGCCUUAGGAAUUAUGGAAUGAGUUACUCACUACAGAACUCCCAAUCUUUGGCUUGCUCUGGGACCACUAGAUGUCAUUCUGCUAUUCAUCAGUUUGUUUUAUGCUGAGGAGCCUAUCACUGAAGAGAGUUCAGAACUGAGCAGGACAAGACAAUAAAUACUUAGAAGAUAUUGUGAAUAUGAGAGACAACAGCGUUGAUAGCAUCCAACAGUGCAUUGAUGAAAUUGAGGAACAAGACUGAAGUGAGCACAUUUUCUAUGAUCACAUAAGUGAUCAUUGCAUUGUUAGAAUAAAAAGAAAACAUGUACAUCUGUUGAUUGUGUCCUCUGUGUAUGUUACUCAUGGCGAUGGAUUUUACCAGGAGAUGCUAAUUGAAAAGUCCAUGGUGAGAAACUGGGCCAUCUGUAAUUAGACCAGAGUGGGACCUCUGUCUCUGCUGGCACCUCUGUAAUCCCAACAGUAUCAGAACUAAGUAGUGACCAUUGCUGGGACUGUAGGCAGCCCAGGAAAAUAAAAAGAUGAUGAAACUGGACUUCACAUAAGCUGAGGAUCUUAGUCAGGCUGUGGUGGACCCCCCCGAGUGCAGCAAAUAGAAAGAAGGAGGAGUUCCAAGGCCAGGGAUGUGUAUAAUCUUUAGGAAUGGAAGGGGGUUGUUUUGGGUAUUCCCUGAUGAACACAGGGAACCUUGCUAAAAAUAAAUACGCACCUUUUCUGCUAUGAUUAGUUCACUUAAGGACCUCGAGAUGCCCAAGGGUGGACAGGUUGCCCAAUGCAAUGUUUCCCCCCCCACCACCUCAGUAAUAUGGGACACAAGUCCACGGUAGUGGGAAGGUGGUGGGCAGAUUCAUUUACUUUACAAGACCCGUUCACUCAUUCAUCUU
This is a long non-coding RNA of Stegostoma tigrinum, 3059 nucleotides long. RefSeq lists it as uncharacterized. The transcript is spliced from 5 exons. The record is from RefSeq and is a predicted model, not a curated record. Lineage: Eukaryota; Metazoa; Chordata; Chondrichthyes; Orectolobiformes; Stegostomatidae.